Molecule: ribosomal RNA, 164 nt
Filed under: Cymbonotus lawsonianus
Lineage: Eukaryota; Viridiplantae; Streptophyta; Magnoliopsida; Asterales; Asteraceae
Description: 5.8S ribosomal RNA
Rfam family: 5.8S ribosomal RNA
About the family: 5.8S ribosomal RNA (5.8S rRNA) is a component of the large subunit of the eukaryotic ribosome.
Source: RNAcentral
AAACGACUCNCGGCAACGGAUAUCUCGGCUCACGCAUCGAUGAAGAACGUAGCAAAAUGCGAUACUUGGUGUGAAUUGCAGAAUCCCGUGAACCAUCGAGUUUUUGAACGCAAGUUGCGCCCGAAGCCAUUCGGCCGAGGGCACGUCUGCCUGGGCGUCACACA